GGGACUGGUGUCCGCCCGCGAGGAAGCGGAGGCGCGAUGCUCAAGCCCGUCGCGCAGGCGGCUUUCACGGAGCAGGCAGCAGGGCUGGGAGGCCAGGAUGAGGGGCAGGCUCACCCGCGGUGUUUGCCGCCAGUUCCACCUGAGGGUUUGCACUUUGUCCAGUUCAGGAGUUGCUUCGGGCCACCCGAGACUUACGGGCCCUUGUAAUGACAAUUACUAACAUGAAAGCCAGACUGAGACUUGGAUGCCCUUAAAUAUGGGGUCGCAGAUUCUUCACCCGGAUCACCAGGAAAACACGUGAAAGAUGAUGGUGCAAAAUCAUAAGAAGGGUUGAUGGGGGAAACAAGUAACAAGGUUACCACUGUUGUUUGCCUCACUACACAAAUUGAAAAGUUCUUAAGAAGCACUUCAACUGAGAGAUUCCAAGGUCCAGAUGGAAGCAUAUGUAAUGUCAAACAGCAACAGAUGCUGAGUAAAAUUCACACUACAAUAAUCCUAGGAAAGUGGAUGGGGUAUUCUGGAAAGAGUGUUACAGGCUGAAGGGAAUUAAAACAACUUUAACAUGUUCAGUAACUACCAUUGACACGUUCAUAAGUAGAUACACGUUAAUAUAUUAGUAACAUGUUCUCUUACUCUUUAUACUUAACCUGAAUUUCUGCAGGCUGUGAGAAAUAUUGCAUGAGCAAAAUUGUGUUAAAAGCUAUCACAAAUCACAUUUGGAAAAGCAACAGUAAGGUUGCUUUAAAUAAAGUAAAAGUAUUAUAAAGGUAAAAGUAGUAAAAGAGUAUCGGUCUGCAUUCCAAGAGAAAAAUGCCUCACCAUGUCCAUAGCCUAGCAGGUUAUCUAGGAAAAUACACCAUCCACAAAUGACCAAGUUAAUCUUAGAAUUCAUACAGUCCAAAAAUGACCAGGUUAUUUAAGAACACAGGGUCCAGAAGAUAAAUAAGGCACUUAAGAGACAAUAAUAUAAAACGGAUAGCGCACGGAAUGGGCGCAUGAGGAAACACAGAAAAAAAAAAAAUCUGUUAACUCUUGAGCCCAAGUAAUAGCAUAGCUGAAGACAUAUUAAGAUUGGAUAUAUAUGACUGUAGCGAGCUCACACAGUGCUCUGAGUAAGGUGCUCUGUUUCUUCAGCACUGGAUAUGCAGCACCCAUAAAUCUGACAGGCUGCAUGUACUGCAGCUUAUGCGAGUACAGUCUUAUCACUAAGGGGAGCUGUGUUGCAUUACCUAUUCUCAGGUUUUCUAAGUUGCUUGUGAUCUGGUAACCCAUUCUAGCUCUGUGUCACUGUGUAGUCUGAAUGCAACAAAUUGAAAAAGAAGCAUAAAGUCUUCAACUUUAAUUCAGAUUUUUUACUCUAAAGGUCUCAGAGUUUAUAAUGUCAAAAAAAUCUACAGAGAAGUAUGAUUCACAGUUUAAAUUAAAACAUCUUUUAUCUUUACAUACAUGCUUACAUUUGUAAAAACACAUAAAAAUUGCUGGGAUUUUUCUUCAGGUUGGAAUUCCCCAAAAGGAGCAAAAUUACACUAUAGAUAGUUACUUAUGAAGUUUAAAUCAUCUUGUAUUAACCACAAAGCUGCAGUUGGUCCUUACUCAGGAAAACACUCAUACUGAAUUCAAAGUACAGCUAAGUGCUUUGGCUUACAGGUCAGCAUGACUGACUUCAUGAAUUCAAGUACUGCCAGAGCAUUUAAGGUUCCUGUCACUUUUUAUUCCAAAGUUGUUUCCUGUUGCUUUUAACUGCAAAAAGACCAUUUUGGGCUAAGGUUUUCUAAGAUGUGUGGUUAAGUAUAGCCUGAUACUGGUAUCCUUCAAGGUCUAGACUGAAGUUUUAAUUACAAGUCACAAGAUGGCCCAUCAUGUUUUACCCCCUUUAAGAUAAGUCUCAAAACUUCAUUUCUAGUUUGUGACCCAGUUUAUGUAUAAUUGGCUUUUAGCUGUCGUUUUGCUACUUCUGCAUCACAGUUAUUUUAGAUGUCUUGUGCCAAAUCAAAGAGGUUCUUUGCCCAGAGGCACAACAUUGGAAGAUUUCAUUAUGUGGCAAUUCUUUUAAUAAUAGCAUGGCUUUUUUUUUUCCUGAUCAAAAAUACAUUAAUGAACAGGGCUCUGUGUCUGCUGUUGUCUGAUGAAUAGUAAAAAAUUGAACAUCAUUCAAAACAGCCUGGGAUAAUAAAUGAAAUAAUAAUAUGAGAAGAAUUGUAGAGAUUUAACACCAUAUCUGGAGUUUUGGUAGGUUUUGGCACCUUAAUACCUUAACCAGAUACUGAAUCGAUAAGACAAGUUUAUCUUCCCAAAAUAAUACACAUAUCAUUUUUUACCUUCAUUCACAAAAAUUGCUUCAGAUACAAUGCUGCUGCUGCUGCAUGCAUGUAGCUAACCAAACACCUUUUCUUCCUCCCACACUGAAAACUAUUUAUCAUAUAUCAUAGAAUCAUAGAAUCAACUAGGUUGGAAAAGACCUUUAAGAUCAUCAAGUCCAACCAUUACCCCAGCACUGCCAAGUCCAUCCCUAAACCAUGUCACUGAGAUGAGAUCCACGCAGUUUUUGAACACUUCUAGGGACAGCAAUUCCACCACUUCCUGUGCAGUGUGUUCCAAUGCCUGAUCACCCUCUAUUAGGAAAUUUUUCCUAAUAUCCAAUCUAAACCUCCUCUGGCACAGCUUGAGGCUGUUUCCUCUUGUCCUAUUUCGUGUUGCCUGGGAGAAGAGACCAAUCCCCACCUUGUUCCCAUCCUCCUUUCAUGUACUUUUAGAGAGGAAUAAGGUUCCUCCUGAGCCUCUACUCCAGACUAAACAACCUCAGUUCCCUCAGACGUUCCUCAUCAGACUUAUUCUCCAGACACUUCACCAGCAAUAUACAUGCUAUCUUAGGUAUUUCUUCACAGUUCAAGUAAUAUUUUGGUCUAAAAUCUACUUGUAGACAGGAUAUAUAGGAGAUUUUUAGAAAGGUAGAAACAAAUCAAAGUUCUUUCACACAUGGGAUUCAGCAUUAUUCCUCAAAGAGACCUGUUCAGGAUGUCAUUAGAAAGAGUGCUUGAGACUGGGGAUAAUGGAGAGGAGAAUGUGGUGCUUCACUGUGGAUGUGGCCUUGGCAGAGCAAGAGGCAACUACUUAUCUUACAGGCAGGAUACGAGUGUGUUUCUUUGCAAUGAGACAUAACCCACACCUGCAGGAAAUCAGUUGAAAAUGGCUGUUUAAAACACAAGUUCAAGACAUAAAACUUCUCACGGGAAGAAUUAUUUUGCCCUUCCAAAGUUCGUUCCUGGCUUGUAAGCUUAAUGCCAUACUGUGUUCUGACCUUGUGCUCAAGAAGUGGGUGGCAGAUCUGUCUGAAGGACAGAAUUCUGUCCUUCAGAAUUAAACUGCUAAAAAAUGCUGAUAUGGUACACAACGUUUAAUAGCAACAGUAUGGCAUGUUACCCUCUUUCAAGUACAAUGUCUGGAUUGCAAAAUACACAUUUGUUUUUCCUUC
This is a long non-coding RNA of Neopsephotus bourkii (Bourke's parrot), 3472 nucleotides long. RefSeq lists it as uncharacterized. The record is from RefSeq and is a predicted model, not a curated record. NCBI's taxonomy places the organism in Eukaryota, Metazoa, Chordata, Aves, Psittaciformes, Psittacidae. The transcript is spliced from 2 exons.